AGCAGAGUGCAGAACUCACUGAGAGAGCGUGGCCAGGCAGCGCCUUCCCUGGGACCCGGAUCCGCUAAGCAUGUCCGCAGCUGGUCAGAGCACGAGUGGCUGAGAGUAUGCCCCAUUUUCCUGAGCAACAGCCUCUUACAGACAGAAAAAUCAAGGUGCCAUCAGCUAUCCAUACUGUGUCAUCAGGCUCUGCCACAGCGUAGACAGGGCAAGGAGGACAAUGACUGAGUCUACACAGUUAAGCAGCUUAUCCAAGGGACCACGAAGAACAGUUCAUUCAGCCUGUCAACACACAAGUGUCUUGAAUAAUUUCUCCAUUGCGUGAAGUUGUUUGGCAAUGAUGGAGCGGUGAUGGACCUUUAGCUACGAUAACCUUUCAAAACAUGAAAAUAUCCACUGCCACAUUUGUUAUAGAGGAAGGUUCUAAACUCUGGGGUGGGCAGGCAGAACUGCACCCCUGAUGAAUGAAGUGGAAAUGCUAUUUGAACUUUCAGACCCAGAGAACACUGCCUGGAGUUUAGGACUGCUUUGACAAUUAUUGAAGACAAUGUAGCUGAGGUCUGUGAUUCAGAACCUGGCACAUGAUUGAUUGUAAACAAAUGGCAGUUUCCUUUUUCCAAAAAUUAAAUGAAAUUUUUGGCUGGUGCUUAUUUCCGCUUAAGAACAAUUUUUUGCUGAGCUGAGUUUUUAAAGUGACUUUCUGAACAAUGUGAUGGAUAUUAUACUGAAAAUAAAGCAUGUAUCAUAAAAGCAUUUUGAAAUUUAACCACAACUACAACACAUGAUUUUGAAAUUCUCGUAUAGCAAGCUUAGACAUGGACAGCCAAAAGGCUUAGCUCUUCCCACCCCCGUAGACACAUCUUAGUGGACACCAAGCUCACGGAAGGGAGGAAGUUUUGCUGGGAAGAUGCAGUGAGCAAAGCCACAAUAUUCAAAUUCCAAAAUACUUUACUUCAUUAUCAAAGCAUCAAUGCAAUUUUAGUAACACUGGACAUUCAUGUCUGUUAUCGCGUUAAUUUCUCUACAUGGAUAAAUAAACCUGUCACGACUGAGAGAGAUUUUAUUAUUCUCACUUAUUGUUAAAGACAGAAGAGCAAGAGACAUUGACCUAGUUUUUUAAGAUAAAUAGUAGUAGCUAUCAGGUCUGUUGGACUUUAGCGCCUGAAUACCCAAACAUCACACCAUUCUGUCUUUGCCCAGAUGAUCCAGGCCUGGUUCCUUACAAGCAUCAUUUAUAGAGACCGUAGAGAAAAAUUCACUAAUGUUUUAAGGCUUUUUGACUAGCUGAUAUGCCAGAUUUUUUUUUUUUUUCAGAUGAGAAUCAAGUUAUGGACCAGCUUGUCCGGCUCUUUCAAUUCCUUUAUACCAAGAGUUCUGGUGUUACGGCUUAACACGUGCUGCUUAGGUAAAGCCUCACUUUCUGAUGCUUCACUGAGCUAGCUACAGUGUAGGGUACUCUCGGGAUCAGAGGAAUUACUAGGUUAGUACCGAUUGGUUUAGACGGGUCACAUGACUUAGGAAAUGACAGGCGUAAAGGUACUGUCAAUCUAUAAAAAGGGGAGGGGAAUGAAAGACAGGAAUUCGGCAUGAGCAUGUGAACUUCAUACGUUUGUGGCUAGAUACAAAUAGAGUGCCCGGCCAAAGUAACGUAAGAGAAGAGGGUUUAUUCCGGCUUAUGGUUUAGGGAAUUCGAGCCAUCAUGGUGGAAAAGGCGAGACAGUGGAACCAGAUCCUAUCUGUGGUAGUGGGAGUGUGAGCCUGCCUGCUCAUCUCCUGGGGUCAGAAAGCAGAGAAAGGUGGAGCUGGUCUGUCAUUCUCAAGCCCUGCUCUGUCUCUGCUUCCGCCAGCUAGGCUCCAUGUCCAAAACGGUUCUACACCGUCUCCAAACAGCUCCGCCAGCCAGAGACUAAGUGAUCAAAUGCACAAGCCUGAGGGAGAGAGUUUGCACUCAAAUCGCAACUGGAAAUUAUCCUUUUUGCCCAUUUCCCUACACUCAGGUUGGACUGAAACUAAACAGUAUGCAUACAAGGAGACUGGAGAGAUGCCUCAACCGUUAAGAUGGCUCAACUUCCUGUCUUUCAAGAGUACCUCUGUUUUCUUCCCAGGAACCUAGUUGGGUGGCUCACAGGCUCGUAUAACUCCAGCUCUGGGGGAUCCAACAUCCUCUUCUGGCCUCUGAGGGCACUCCUCUCCCUCAACACACAUGUGUGUCAUACACACACGGACACACCACAUAAAUAAAAAUAAAACAUGCAUAAAACUCUACAGAAAUGUUUUAAAAAUAGCUUUCAAUCUAAUUACUAAAAGAAUUUUGAUUUAAAAUGCAGAAACAAAAUUUGAUACUAAAGGCUAGUCUCCCCUCCCCCGCUUCUUUCUGGAGUAAUCAAUCUUCUAAGAGAACAUUUUUGGGCAAAUGUAACUAUGUUAAUGAUUUAUACAGUUUCAAAAGAAUGUUUCAUUUAACUUCCUAAUGGAAAAUAACGUUCUGUUCAGACAUUUUAAAAUGUAUUUUAAAAGACUUGUACUUGAGACUCAAGGUCAUGAUCUAAACAUUCUGAAUAAGUGUUUUUAUGUGUACUUGUCUGUAGUUUAAUUGUCGAUUGGCCUUGGUAUUAAAUCAUGGGAAAAAAAUGUCAAUGAUCCGUUCUAGAAGGGGAUUUUUGUGGAUCAAAUGGAUUUUUAAAAAUUGCUUGUUUUUCUAGAGCAGUAAAAAUAUUUACUUUCAAAUGUCUAAUCAUCGGGAUAUUUCAGAAGCCCAUAAAAAUGUAUGAAUGAUGAAAACAGCUAAGCGUGUUUUCCUUCCCUUUAUUUAUGUCUCUGAGCCUUGGAAUCUGAUAACAAUUCUACAAUGAAGGCCUUUCUUCUGAUGGAGAGAGGAGCUGGCGCUGGGUGUGGAAAGCGUAUGCCGGGAAUGUAGUGAGUUCAUGACUUGAAAAGUGAGAGCAUUGCCCUCUGCUUGGAGGAAAGGAGGCCAGACACAGGCAGAGUGAGGCCACCAAAGAUCUCCACACAGAUAAAAGUAUCACGGCAGGUUGUUUCUCGGGAUACAUCAAAGCUCAGAACCCUGUCCUCUGUAUGUGAAAGAAGAGUUGUUUGAACUCUUAACUCUUCUGUCUGAAGGAACCCUGUCACCCAUCACACCCACUCACAGUUAUCACAAAAGAGCAAAUUCUGGCUUUCUAGUAGGGUGCUUGCAUUCUCUGAGAUGUAAAAAAAUAACAAUUAAAAAAUUAUAGUUUUAAUUUUGUUUUUUUUUUUAUGUGUGUGUGUUUCAGAGAAUCAAAUUAAUAGUGAUCUCUAUUGAUGUAAAAUGGUAAGCAUUGUGUGAAUGCUUUCAUAUAUUAUCUCUUCUCAUACAAUAAAAAUCUAUGAAGUGGAUACUUUCAAUGUCCUUAUUUUACACGGGGACAAGCAGAAAAAUUUGAAAGACUGUUCAUCUUGAUAGUGGGCAGCCAAUAAGGGACAGGUCUGGGAUUGGCACCACAGGACCUAAGGUCAAAGCCCAUGACUGUAACUGCUUAAGCCUGCCAUCUUCGAUCACGAUGCCUCUUGGCGUUCUUUCAUUUAUACAGAGCAUACAUAUUUAUCUAUAUAUCUCUGAUGAUAUUUUGGGUAUGCACUAACAAAUAAAGCUUGCCUGAAAAUCAGAGGGCAAAGCCAGCCACUAGUUAGCCAUAGAGGCCAGGCAGUGGUGGCACACACCUUUGCUCCCAGCACUUGGGAUCUCAUGCCUUUGCUCCCAGUACUUGGGAGGCACAUACACCUCUAAUCCCAGCACUGGGAAAGUUGAGACAGGAAGUGAUACGACUGAGCAGAGAAAAGGAAUAUAAGGCGGGAGGAGACAGGAGCUCAGUCUCCUUUCCACUUAGGAGUUGGCGAGUUGAAGGUGGCUCUGGCUUGUUCCUCUGAUCUUUCAGCAUUUACCCCGAUAUCUGGCUCUGGGUUUUUAUUACAAGACCAAUUAGGAUUCGUGCAACAUAUAUCUGUAUUUAUAAUCUACCUAUGCCUUUCAGCUGUGCCUGCUCAUGUGUUAUCAUUGGUCCAUAUUUACUGGCUACAUUUUAAAGGCCCAGAGCUUCUCUGUACUUGAGUAGGAAAGAGUGGGCUCUGAAAAUGUAUAGCUCCUUCCCCGAUGUACGCAUUCCUCCGUGACAUAAAUGUCUGUACAUCCACAAUCCUCACAGAGAAUCCAGGGGGACGCAGAGAAAGAGACACAGAAGCAGGUGGCUCCGGCCGUGUGAUGACGAUGAGCACGGGCCUGAAGAAGACACAAGGAGGUGCCCGAGAAAGCCAGAGUCGCCGGCAGAACUGGGGUGUGGGAAGUAAAACCGGAAGGAGCAGAACAGAGCUGGGUAGCUUUAUUCCCGU
This is a long non-coding RNA of Peromyscus californicus insignis, 4368 nucleotides long. RefSeq lists it as uncharacterized. Lineage: Eukaryota; Metazoa; Chordata; Mammalia; Rodentia; Cricetidae. The transcript has 3 exons. The record is from RefSeq and is a predicted model, not a curated record.